CAUCGUGUACGCACCACAGUUGAGUGACCAGUCAGCCUGCCACAAACGUUCGGCGCUCCGCAAAUUCUUUCUGUGUGGCCUAGCGUUCCAUUACGUCACGGAAAGGAACGACAGCAGGAUCAACGAAGACCGGAGACUCCUUUGCCAGGCUGUGCACGAAUACCAAAAAUGUACAUCAAUGGCACUUUCUUCUACGGACUGCUUUUUGGAUGAGGCACUACGAAAACAUGUCUCCUACUUCUCAAGCGGAGCUCUAGAAGACCAAGGAGUGGCUUGCAGUUCGGACGGCAUGCCAAAGGCGCAACGCUCACAGAUUUCAAGCAGCAAUCAACGUCUACUGCACGCACAGCAGAAAUGCGUGGGGCGAGCAGCCCUGUUCGACUUCUUCAAAUGUGGCCUCGAGUUCAACCGGCUGGUGAAGCGGGCCAACCGCGGAGAUCGCAAAUUCAAGAGAGCCUAUUCCCGGAAGAAGGGCAAGCGGAGCUCCCGAAAGCGCCAGAAGCCCAUUGUCGUCCCACGAACUGCUUUCCGGA
Rhipicephalus sanguineus (brown dog tick) is the source of this 533-nucleotide long non-coding RNA. RefSeq lists it as uncharacterized. NCBI's taxonomy places the organism in Eukaryota, Metazoa, Arthropoda, Arachnida, Ixodida, Ixodidae. The record is from RefSeq and is a predicted model, not a curated record. The transcript is spliced from 3 exons.